This is a long non-coding RNA of Dermacentor silvarum, 191 nucleotides long. RefSeq lists it as uncharacterized. The record is from RefSeq and is a predicted model, not a curated record. The transcript has 3 exons. Lineage: Eukaryota; Metazoa; Arthropoda; Arachnida; Ixodida; Ixodidae.
CACUUGUAGCAUGCAGGAGCGUAGUCGCCAGGUUGGGGAGCAGAAGACUUAGCUGCAUCUCCGGUGGAGUUGGCUGUACUUCAAAUAUCAGGCAUGCAGCGGGGACUGACCGGAGCUACAAGUGUCCCCUACGACCCCUACGGAUUGCCCACCGACUUUGAGAGACUCGUGCUUCUAAACUUGCACAAGGA